RNAcentral lists this ribosomal RNA (253 nucleotides) under uncultured bacterium. Its description in RNAcentral is "partial 16S ribosomal RNA". It matches the Rfam family "Bacterial small subunit ribosomal RNA", at positions 524 to 776 of the family's 1533-position model. The record is from RNAcentral.
UACGGAGGGGGCUAGCGUUGUUCGGAAUUACUGGGCGUAAAGCGCGCGUAGGCGGACCUGCAAGUCGGGGGUGAAAGCCCGAGGCUCAACCUCGGAACUGCCUUCGAUACUGCGGGUCUCGAGUCCGGUAGGGGAGUGUGGAAUUCCCGGUGUAGCGGUGAAAUGCGCAGAUAUCGGGAGGAACACCAGUAGCGAAGGCGGCACUCUGGGCCGGUACUGACGCUGAGGAGCGAAAGCGUGGGGAGCGAACAGG